CCUACGGGUGGCAGCAGUCGAGAAUCAUUCACAAUGGGGGAAACCCUGAUGGUGCGACGCCGCGUGGGGGAAUGAAGGUCUUCGGAUUGUAAAUCCCUGUCAUGUGGGAGCAAAUUAAAAAGAUAGUACCACAAGAGGAAGAGACGGCUAACUAUGUGCCAGCAGCCGCGGUAAUAAAGGGGUCUCAAGCGUUGUUCGUAAUCACUGGGCGUAAAGCGUGCGUAGGCGGGUUGGUAAGUCGUGUGAGAAAGGCGCGGGCUCAACCCGCGGACGGCAUAGGAGUCUGUGGAACUAGAGUAAUGGAGGGGGAACCGGAAUGCUCGGUGUAGCAGUGAAAUGCGUAGAUAUCGGGAGGAACACUCGUGGCGAAGGCGGGUUCCUGGACAUUAACUGACGGUGAGGCACGAAGGCCAGGGGAGCGAAAGGGAUUAGAUACCCCAGUAGUC
RNAcentral lists this ribosomal RNA (446 nucleotides) under uncultured bacterium. RNAcentral's name for it is "partial 16S ribosomal RNA". It matches the Rfam family "Bacterial small subunit ribosomal RNA", at positions 338 to 795 of the family's 1533-position model. The record is from RNAcentral.